CCUACGGGUAGCAGCAGUGGGGAAUAUUGGACAAUGGGGGCAACCCUGAUCCAGCAAUACCGCGUGUGUGAAGAAGGCCUUCGGGUUGUAAAGCACUUUAGGCGGGGAAGCGGUACCCGCAGAAUAAGCACCGGCUAACUCUGUGCCAGCAGCCGCGGUAAUACAGAGGGUGCAAGCGUUAAUCGGAUUUACUGGGCGUAAAGGGCGCGUAGGUGGUUUAUUAAGUGAGAUGUGAAAGCCCCGGGCUUAACCUGGGAAUGGCAUCUUAUACUGGUGAACUGGAGUGCAGUAGAGGGUAGUGGAAUUUCCGGUGUAGCGGUGAAAUGCGUAGAUAUCGGAAGGAACACCAGUGGCGAAGGCGGCUACCUGGACUGAACUGACACUGAGGCGCGAAAGCGUGGGGAGCAAACAGGAUUAGAUACCCUAGUAGUC
Molecule: ribosomal RNA, 432 nt
Filed under: uncultured bacterium
Lineage: Bacteria
Description: partial 16S ribosomal RNA
Rfam family: Bacterial small subunit ribosomal RNA
Source: RNAcentral